Long non-coding RNA from Oryza sativa Japonica Group (Japanese rice), 463 nucleotides. RefSeq lists it as uncharacterized. Lineage: Eukaryota; Viridiplantae; Streptophyta; Magnoliopsida; Poales; Poaceae. The record is from RefSeq and is a predicted model, not a curated record.
AUCCAUAAGGCAAAGCACAUAAACAGUUUCAUCUUCUUGCCCUUUCUUUCUCCCUUGUCUGUUUCUUUUCCUUCUUGCAAGCUGAGCUCCCUCCUCUUUUCCCCCUCGCCUAAUCUCCUCCAAAUGAAAGAAUCGAGCCCUGCAUGUCACACCACUAGAUCCCCAUGAUUCUAAGCUUUCCAUCCAUCCAAACAUCUUGCACAUGCAUGGGUUGGUGAGGGAGAUCCGGAAGAAGAUAGGUAGAGCUUCCUGCGGAUUGCAGCAGCAAAACAACCCUGUUUUUCCUUCACUUGGUCACCGGUUGAAGAUUUUAAGGCUAGGAGCAAGUUGCAAAGCUGUUUUUCUCUCCUUGACUGACAGAGCUCGGUGUCUUCUUUACUUCCCUGUUUUGAUUCGGAGAAUUCGGAGUACGUGGAGCAAGACUCAGAGGUUGAGUGUGUUUCCACACAGCAGCAAGGCAAGC